CCCUUAGAUGUUCUGGGCCGCACGCGCGCUACACUGACGAAUGCAACGAGCUUAUAACCUUGGCCGAAAGGUCUGGGUAAUCUCCAAAUUUCGUCGUGAUGGGGAUAGAUUAUUGCAAUUAUUAAUCUUCAACGAGGAAUGCCUAGUAAGCGCAAGUCAUCAGCUUGCGUUGAUUACGUCCCUGCCCUUUGUACACACCGCCCGUCGCUCCUACCGAUUGAAUGGUCCGGUGAAGCGUUCGGACCGUGGCCUUUGGACGGUUCGCCGUCUGUUGGCUGCGGGAAGUUCGUUAAACCUUAUCAUUUAGAGGAAGGAGANGUCGUGACA
RNAcentral lists this ribosomal RNA (327 nucleotides) under uncultured eukaryote. RNAcentral's name for it is "partial 18S ribosomal RNA". It matches the Rfam family "Eukaryotic small subunit ribosomal RNA", at positions 1470 to 1796 of the family's 1831-position model. The record is from RNAcentral.